This 203-nucleotide long non-coding RNA is filed under the name Elaeis guineensis (African oil palm). RNAcentral's name for it is "long non-coding RNA (EGUI_LNC063692)". Lineage: Eukaryota; Viridiplantae; Streptophyta; Magnoliopsida; Arecales; Arecaceae. The record is from RNAcentral.
AUCUCAAAAUUGUUCUGACCUUAGAAAAAUUAAAUCAUGUUCUCGAUCAGGAUCUCGUAGUGCUACCAAACCAUCCUACUACUAAGCAAAGAGGUACUUUUGAGAAGUGGAUGGAUGAAGACAGUCAGAUCAAGUGCUAUGUGCUGACGUCCAUAUCAAAUGAGUUGUAAAGUCAGCAUGAGCAUAUGCCCACUGCCCGGGCC